CUUACCUGGGCCUGAAACCCAUUGCCUUCUCUCUGAGUUAAGCUAUCUCCAGCCCCAUGCUUGGGACCUGUACUGAACGAAGUGUAUUUUAUUAUACUCAUCAGGUGUGGACUUUCAGACUGGCUCGCCCCUAAUGCUUCUGGCUCCAGAAGACUGCCCAAAGUCUACUCCACGUCUGAGGUUGGGUCAUCCCAGAAGGAAACCCUGAGCCAAAAAUUUUAAUGCAAGUGAUUUAUUAAGGCGGUGAUCCCAGGAGGACAGCAUAAUGGAAUCCAGAAUUGGGAGGAAGAUGAGUCAACAGAUGGGGCAAUUUCAAGUGAAAACCCAACAUCAGCCAAAGUCUAUGAAAAGCUAUGGAAGAGAAUCUCCACAUCAGUUUGUCAUGUCUUGAAGCAAAGGACCUCACCUUUUACUUCUUUACCAAUCUCUUCAAAAAGACAUAAUUUCGACAUUUCUCUAGGUAGACUGAGAGAAGAUUGGAAAUCAUUUGUUCAGAUAGUAGGGCCACCAAACAACUGAAGACGACGUAACUCCCACUUUCUAUAUACAUCCAUCG
Molecule: long non-coding RNA, 556 nt
Organism: Peromyscus maniculatus bairdii (prairie deer mouse)
Lineage: Eukaryota; Metazoa; Chordata; Mammalia; Rodentia; Cricetidae
Source: RefSeq, a predicted model, not a curated record